GGAAGUAAAAGUCGUAUCAAGGUUUCCGUAGGUGAACCUGCGGAAGGAUCAUUCAUAAUAAAGUGUUUUAUGGCACUUUUUAAAAAUCCAUAUCCACCUUGUGUGCAAUGUUAGAUCUCGUCAAUCUUGGCGAGAUUUUUAUACAUCAACUCAUUCUUUAACUAAUUUGUCUGAAAAAUAUUAUGAAUACUUAAUUCAAAAUACAACUUUCAACAACGGAUCUCUUGGCUCUC
Molecule: unclassified non-coding RNA, 233 nt
Filed under: plant metagenome
Description: partial contains small subunit ribosomal RNA, internal transcribed spacer 1, and 5.8S ribosomal RNA
Rfam family: Eukaryotic small subunit ribosomal RNA (bases 1-54)
Source: RNAcentral